Leptidea sinapis is the source of this 465-nucleotide long non-coding RNA. RefSeq lists it as uncharacterized. The record is from RefSeq and is a predicted model, not a curated record. NCBI's taxonomy places the organism in Eukaryota, Metazoa, Arthropoda, Insecta, Lepidoptera, Pieridae. The transcript has 2 exons.
CACAUAAGUGCUUUGUCCGUAAAGCUAUAACGUCGAAUAUUGGUGGCCUUGAAUCGUAACGGAUCGAAAUGUGUUUGGGAAUUCACUCGUUCAUAACUGCGUAGGCAAAUAAACCAUCUUGUACACGUAAUAAGGGUGAUUAAGCAUUAGUUUUUAGUGGACAUAAUGAAGCGAUAUUUGACUAACCCCUCCACCUCUAAGGACAGUCAAAAGAAGAUUAAACCUCAGCCAAAUCAGCUGCUGUUCAUCAAAAAUAAAUACCGAAACCGCAUUAGUGUUGAAGAGGACUUGAGAAUCAAGUUAAGUUCAAUCGACCCAGAUAUUGAAAAUUUGAUCAAGAACAAACAACAACAACAAGCUCAUUAGGAUCUGUUUAUAUUUAAAUGACUGUGUUCAAUUAACUAAUUCAAGAUUGUUUUUAAUGUAUAAUACAUUUUAUUUUGUAAAUACAUACAUACAGUUGUA